GGUUAAGUCCCGCAACGAGCGCAACCCUUGUCGUUAAUUGCCAUCAUUUAGUUGGGCACUUUAGCGAAACUGCCGGUGACAAACCGGAGGAAGGUGGGGGAUGACGUCAAGUCCUCAUGGCCCUUAUGGGUAGGGCUUCACACGUCAUACAAUGGUCGGUACAGAGGGUUGCCAAACCGCGAGGUGGAGCUAAUCUCUUAAAGCCGAUCGUAGUCCGGAUCGUAGUCUGCAACUCGACUACGUGAAGUCGGAAUCGCUAGUAAUCGCAGAUCAGCAUGCUGCGGUGAAUACGUUCCCGGGUCUU
RNAcentral lists this ribosomal RNA (304 nucleotides) under uncultured Azoarcus sp. RNAcentral's name for it is "bacterial SSU rRNA". It matches the Rfam family "Bacterial small subunit ribosomal RNA", at positions 1078 to 1382 of the family's 1533-position model. The record is from RNAcentral. Lineage: Bacteria; Pseudomonadati; Pseudomonadota; Betaproteobacteria; Rhodocyclales; Zoogloeaceae.